Molecule: ribosomal RNA, 601 nt
Filed under: uncultured bacterium
Lineage: Bacteria
Description: bacterial SSU rRNA
Rfam family: Bacterial small subunit ribosomal RNA
Source: RNAcentral
AGAGUUUGAUCAUGGCUCAGAACGAACGCUGGCGGCAGGCCUAACACAUGCAAGUCGAACGAUAAGCCACCUUCGGGUGGUGGACAGUGGCAGACGGGUGAGUAACGCGUGGGAACGUGCCUUUCGGUUCGGAAUAACCCAGGGAAACUUGGGCUAAUACCGGAUACGCCCUUCGGGGGAAAGAUUCAUUGCCGAAAGAUCGGCCCGCGUCGGAUUAGCUAGUUGGUGGGGUAAUGGCUCACCAAGGCGACGAUCCGUAGCUGGUCUGAGAGGAUGACCAGCCACACUGGGACUGAGACACGGCCCAGACUCCUACGGGAGGCAGCAGUGGGGAAUAUUGGACAAUGGGCGCAAGCCUGAUCCAGCCAUGCCGCGUGGGUGAAGAAGGCCUUAGGGUUGUAAACCCCUUUCAGCGGGGAAGAUAAUGACGGUACCCGCAGGAGAAGUCCCGGCUAACUCCGUGCCAGCAGCCGCGGUAAUACGGAGGGGACUAGCGUUGUUCGGAAUUACUGGGCGUAAAGCGCACGUAGGCGGAUUUGUUAGUCAGGGGUGAAAUCCCGGGGCUCACCUCGGAACUGCCUUUUGAUACUGCAAAUCUCGA